CGAAACGAACUGUUUCGUGCUUUAGUCUCUUACUUGCUAAAGGGUUGACCAAUGAAGAGAAUAUUCCUAAUUGUUUCGAGGUCCAAAGGUUGUUCCCUUUGCAGCAGAAGUAGAUGGCGUUGCGCAUAUUGCAGUCCAACCAAACAAAAGCGUAAGGAAGAAGUGGCCGAUAGCGAUAAAAAGAGACAAAAAAAAAGAGGGAAGUUGUGGAAACUCGGGACUACUAGUCUAGUGUGCACGAUGAAUUCAUAGCCAAGUGGGAAAAAUUCAUAGUUACGUCGACCUAAUGUAAGUAUCCUACGAAACCAUUAAGAUACAUGUACUAUUCACGGGAAAUAGCAUCAAAAGUAAUAUACAGUCAAACCUUUAAUAAAAGACCGUCCAAUGGAGAAUAGGUCACACAUGACAAGUAGUCACUUAAUUAAUGAUCCUUCUGCAGUGAAGGCAUUUAGCAGGUAAUACACUGAAAUGUACAUUGGAGAAAAUAACUGUACAUGUAUUUAGAAUGAAUAAAUUCAUUAUUAAGAAUAACGAG
Long non-coding RNA from Ostrea edulis (European flat oyster), 535 nucleotides. RefSeq lists it as uncharacterized. NCBI's taxonomy places the organism in Eukaryota, Metazoa, Mollusca, Bivalvia, Ostreida, Ostreidae. The record is from RefSeq and is a predicted model, not a curated record. The transcript is spliced from 2 exons.